GGAGAGAUGGCCGAGUGGUUUAAAGCGAUGGAUUGCUAAUCCGUUGUACAUCCUUUUGUACCGAGGGUUCGAAUCCCUCUCUCUCC
This 86-nucleotide transfer RNA is filed under the name Rhodobryum laxelimbatum. RNAcentral describes it as "tRNA-Ser". It matches the Rfam family "tRNA". Rfam says of the family: Transfer RNA (tRNA) molecules are approximately 80 nucleotides in length. Their secondary structure includes four short double-helical elements and three loops (D, anti-codon, and T loops). Lineage: Eukaryota; Viridiplantae; Streptophyta; Bryopsida; Bryales; Bryaceae. The record is from RNAcentral.